AACGAACGCUGGCGGCAGGCCUAACACAUGCAAGUCGAGCGCUUCCCUUCGGGGAGGAGCGGCGGACGGGUGAGUAACGCGUGGGAACGUACCCUUUUCUGCGGAAUAGCCACUGGAAACGGUGAGUAAUACCGCAUACGCCCUUCGGGGGAAAGAUUUAUCGGGGAAGGAUCGGCCCGCGUUGGAUUAGGUAGUUGGUGGGAUAAUGGCCUACCAAGCCGACGAUCCAUAGCUGGUUUGAGAGGAUGUUCAGCCACACUGGGACUGAGACACGGCCCAG
This 280-nucleotide ribosomal RNA is filed under the name uncultured bacterium. RNAcentral describes it as "partial 16S ribosomal RNA". It matches the Rfam family "Bacterial small subunit ribosomal RNA", at positions 29 to 334 of the family's 1533-position model. The record is from RNAcentral.